Molecule: ribosomal RNA, 427 nt
Filed under: uncultured soil bacterium
Lineage: Bacteria
Description: bacterial SSU rRNA
Rfam family: Bacterial small subunit ribosomal RNA
Source: RNAcentral
AGAUUGAACGCUGGCGGCAUGCUUUACACAUGCAAGUCGAACGGCAGCACGGGGGCAACCCUGGUGGCGAGUGGCGAACGGGUGAGUAAUAUAUCGGAACGUACCCGGAAAUGGGGGAUAACGUAGCGAAAGUUACGCUAAUACCGCAUAUGCCCUGAGGGGGAAAGCGGGGGAUUCGUAAGAACCUCGCGUUUUCGGAGCGGCCGAUAUCGGAUUAGCUAGUAGGUGAGGUAAAGGCUCACCUAGGCGACGAUCCGUAGCUGGUCUGAGAGGACGACCAGCCACACUGGAACUGAGACACGGCCCAGACUCCGUACGGGAGCAGCAGUGGGAAUCUGCGCAAUGGCCUAAGGCUGACGCAGCGACGCCGCGUGAGGAUGACGCUCGUUCGGAGUGUAAACCUCUUUGCCUGAGACGAUGCCAGCUU